UACAAAACAGAAAUCAUUAAACAAACAAUUAAAGUCUACUUAGUUUGAAGGGAACAGGACUAGGGUAGACCUAAAAAGAAAAAUGAGACACUGAAAUUCUAUGGACCCGUUCGGUAACCAUUAAAAAAAUGGUUUUUUAUUUUUUUAAACAAAAAUAUGAAAAUAUAAUUAGAAAACACGUUCGGUAAUAUAAUUUUGUUUUUAUUUUUUUUAAUUUAAAAUCAAAAUUAAUUAAAUUUUGAAAACAUUAUUUUGAAGCUUUUAAAAACAUGAAAACGUAUUUUCGUCUCUGAGCUUCUGAGCUUCACCUUCCUCAAUCACAAGUAUAUACUAGAUUUGUUCAUGAGAGCUCAGUCAAUCAACUGAGCUUUUGAGCUUCACCUUCCUCAAUCAACAGUGCCCAGGGUGAUUUCUAUUAUUAAGAUUGAUUGGCUUGGUAGCUUUGAGUGUUUCAGACAGUUGGCUUGGUGACUUUGAGGAAAAUUGAUGAUCUAAGCUUGGAAAUUUCAAUUUCAGAUCAAAGACCUCUUUGGCCCUGAUCCAUUUGCUUUACUCAAGGUACACUCUCUUUCAAUCCAAUCAUAUAAAUAUAUUACAUAUUUCUUUCAUUAUGGCUGUUUCUCCAUUGUAGAUCUGCGAUAAAGUUUUGCUGCCACUCUUUGAAUCUGAUUCCAUUUGCAUUUGUGGAUUUCUGCAUUGUGGUUUUACUGGCUGUUUGGCAGUUGGGUUUUUGUUUGUUUUGCUUUUUCUUAUGUGGGUCGAUCUUACUUUUCGAAUUUGUUCUCUCAUCGGUUGA
Long non-coding RNA from Humulus lupulus (European hop), 796 nucleotides. RefSeq lists it as uncharacterized. The record is from RefSeq and is a predicted model, not a curated record. The transcript has 3 exons. Lineage: Eukaryota; Viridiplantae; Streptophyta; Magnoliopsida; Rosales; Cannabaceae.